RNAcentral lists this long non-coding RNA (366 nucleotides) under Carica papaya (papaya). RNAcentral describes it as "long non-coding RNA (CPAP_LNC012422)". The record is from RNAcentral. Lineage: Eukaryota; Viridiplantae; Streptophyta; Magnoliopsida; Brassicales; Caricaceae.
GCAAUUCACAUAACAUGCUUGAAAACAAGAAUAAUUCAACUCAUCUGAGCACAAAGGCAUAAAACAGACAAAAUCACAAUCAUAUUAAGUUAGUUUAUCUAAAAAUACUCCUUAAGACGUCGAAAGAAAUACUAAAUUUCUUACUGAAGCCUUGAUGUUUUCUCCCGCACUCUUCUCCUUUCUUUCUCUUAUUCUCUCACUAAUUUACUAUCUCUCUCUCUCUCUAAACCUUUGAAAAAUGGAAGUGUGGAGAGAAAGGGAAGGGGAAGAGUAAUUUAUUGAACUUCAGAACUGUUGGAUUCGCAACAAGUUGCAAAAUUCGAUGAAGAUUGAGGAGAAAAAGAUGUUUGGCAUGAAAAAUAAGGG